UGCAAGUCGAGCGAGAAAGCACUUCGGUGUGAGUACAGCGGCGGACGGGUGAGUAACGCGUAGGAAUCUACCCAGUAGUGGGGGACAACAUGGUGAAAACCAUGCUAAUACCGCAUACGCCCUACGGGGGAAAGCGGGGGACCUUCGGGCCCCGCGCUACUGGAUGAGCCUGCGUUGGAUUAGCUAGUUGGUGGGGUAAAGGCUCACCAAGGCGACGACGGGUAGCCGGCCUGAGAGGGUGACCGGCCACACUGGGACUGAGACACGGCCCAGACUCCUACGGGAGGCAGCAGUGGGGAAUAUUGCACAAUGGGCGCAAGCCUGAUGCAGCAACGCCGCGUGAGGGACGAAGGCCUUCGGGUUGUAAACCUCUUUUAGCAGGGAAGAAGCGAAAGUGACGGCACCUGCAGAAAAAGCGCCGGCUAACUACGUGCCAGCAGCCGCGGUAAUACGUAGGGCGCAAGCGUUGUCCGGAAUUAUUGGGCGUAAAGAGCUCGUAGGCGGUUUGUCGCGUCUGCUGUGAAAAUCCGAGGCUCAACCUCGGACCUGCAGUGGGUACGGGCAAACUAGAGUGCGGU
RNAcentral lists this ribosomal RNA (578 nucleotides) under uncultured bacterium. RNAcentral describes it as "bacterial SSU rRNA". It matches the Rfam family "Bacterial small subunit ribosomal RNA", at positions 56 to 652 of the family's 1533-position model. The record is from RNAcentral.